Molecule: long non-coding RNA, 2052 nt
Filed under: Triticum aestivum (bread wheat)
Lineage: Eukaryota; Viridiplantae; Streptophyta; Magnoliopsida; Poales; Poaceae
Description: long non-coding RNA (TAES_LNC025025)
Source: RNAcentral
CUGCGAACGCUUUUUCCUCCUCGCCGCACUCUCUUUCUCUUCCUUAUCCAUUCUUCCUACCUCACCCGCACCACUCCUCCUCAGCCCCGAUAGCUAAGGCACCGCCGCUCGCCGGAGCUCCCCUCAAGCUCCCAAGCCAGGGCCGCCGGCCCUCUACAUCGUCGCCGGAUUUUCGGCGCCUCCCCAACUCUCCACCGCGAACAGAUCUGCAUCCCGUGCGCCAUCGCCAGCCCAAGCGGCGGCGCCCUGCCGCGAGGACCAGAGGGCGACUCCGCACCCACCUGAGGAAAGCUGCUGCUGGCCGGCAGUGAGGCUGACCCGCACAUAUCCCGUGCGCCUUCGCUGGCCCAUGUCCGGGGAGGCGAGCUUCGCGUCGGCCCAAGCAGCGGCCCCCAGCGUGAGGCCCGGCGGGCGAGGAUGCGCCGACCUGAGCAAAGCUGCUGCUGGCCGGCGGUGAGGCUGAUCCAUUCUGGCCUCGCCGACCUCGCAUCCGCCUUCCGCCGCGUCGCCCGGUGCCAGGCGGGCUCCCGGCGCAUCUUCCUUUGUCUCACUGUCGCCUCCCUACUCGGCAGGCUCGCCCGUGACCGCUCGCAAAAUUGAUGUUGUAAUUGUAUGCUUGGUCAUGUAAGUUGCCAUGGCAAAAUACUUUAUGGUACAUACAUCGUAAUAAAAGUUGCCAUCGUUUUUUCAUACAGUAAAUGAUGUAUAUGGCAAUUAAGCAUUAUUGUGUGGGAAAUUCAUGGAAUUCAUUCAUAACUUGCCAGAGAGGGGGAUUCGCCAUCCACGGGUUCGGCGGCGACGGUCUCCUCCCUACCUGCAUCCGCGAGAGAGGCCACGACAGCUCGCCGACGGCGGGCCUCGAGGUGGCCGAGCGAAAAGCGGCGGUGCUCGGGGUCUUGGGAGCUCCUCACCACCACGGCCAUGGUAGCGGCAACAACAGCCAAGACCAUGGUCACGCCAAGCAGUAGCAGCCGUUCAGGUUCGUCCCGGGGUGCUUUACUCCCUGCAAUUUUUGACGCAGUUUUUGCUCCAGCUCAUGACAAACUACGUGUUGUGAUGCUAAUCGAUCACAUUUGUAUGUCCAUUUUUAUCUGUACACCCACUGCAAAAACUAUGCGAUGUAAUGCUAAUCUUGACCAGAUUUUGAUGCAUUUUUUUCACAAAUAAUUCAUGGCAAAUUAUGUGAUGCGAUGCAAAUGGAACCAAAACUCGUAUGUGUAAAUUGUUACAGUAAUCUGUGUACCUUACACUACUUUUCUUGUGUUUUGCACUGAUAUGUGGGUUGCUCAAAUUUUGAAGCAGCUUGGACGUUACCAUCAGUUUCUAGUUCACUUUGGCAUGUCUCAAAUUCUGCAAUAUUUUUGCUAGCUGAUUUUCUGACUCAAGUUGUGAUAAAUUAGUAAGUUUGCUAUGUACUGAAGUUAGUUUAGUUUCAUGUGUACCCGAGGUUCUGCUUGAAAUAGUUACCAUUGUAUUAGACAUAUAUUUGCCAUCGUAUUUAGCACGAUAUUCCUCGAGAAUAGACACAAUUACCACAACUCUGAUGUAUAUUUUUUGCCUCCAAAGUUGCCAUGCCUCACUAUACAAUUUUUCUUAAAUUUACCGUCUCACUGUACAUUUUUUCUUAAAUUUUCCUGGAAGAUGGCAAAUAUAGUUAUGGAAUCGUGGCACAUUUAGUUCUCGGAUUAUGAAAAAAUCAUUGCUUUCUUGCCCUGGCAACUUUUGAUUUUGGAUCAUUGUGCGGUUUUACUGUUUUCAAACAUGGCAACUAAUCGUACACUUUCUGCCAUGUAAACAUCAAAAUUUUAGUUAAUUCAUCAUGGCAAAUUUAGUUUGCUCAUCAUAGCAAAUUUGCUUCCCUGGAAGAUGGCAAAUAUAGUUAUCGAAGCAUGGCAAAUUUAGUUCUCGAAUCAUGGCAAAUUCAUUGCUUUCUUGCCAUGGAAAUUUUUUGAUUUUUAAAAUUGUCACUAUACUUCUUGAAAUUUUCAAAAACAACAUAAAAUGGAAAAUAUUGCGAUGGCAUGUUAUGCUAAUUAUUUCACCUUUAUCAAC